GAUGAAGAACGUAGCGAAAUGCGAUAAGUAGUGUGAAUUGCAGAAUUCAGUGAAUCAUCGAAUCUUUGAACGCACAUUGCGCCCCUUGGUAUUCCGAGGGGCAUGCCUGUUCGAGCGUCAUUAUAACCCCUCAAGCUCAGCUUGGUAUUGGGGCCUGCCAUCCUGGCAGCCCUUAAAAUCAGUGGCGGUGCCAUCCGGCUCUAAGCGUAGUAACUCUUCUCGCUAUGGAGUCCUGGUGGAUGCUUGCCAUUAAUCUUUUAACUUCUAUGGUUGACCUCGGAUCAGGUAGGGAUACCCGCUGAACUUAAGCAUAUCAAUAAGCGGAGGA
Molecule: unclassified non-coding RNA, 328 nt
Filed under: soil metagenome
Description: partial contains 5.8S ribosomal RNA, internal transcribed spacer 2, and large subunit ribosomal RNA
Rfam family: 5.8S ribosomal RNA (bases 1-120)
Source: RNAcentral